This 254-nucleotide ribosomal RNA is filed under the name uncultured bacterium. RNAcentral describes it as "partial 16S ribosomal RNA". It matches the Rfam family "Bacterial small subunit ribosomal RNA", at positions 524 to 776 of the family's 1533-position model. The record is from RNAcentral.
UACGGAGGGUGCUCGCGUUGUCCGGAAUCAUUGGGCGUCAAGGGCGCGUAGGUGGCCUGGCAAGCGUGCGGUGAAAGCUCGGGGCUCAACCCCGAGUCGGCCGUGCGAACUGCUAUGGCUCGAGCACUGUAGAGGCAGGCGGAAUUCCGGGUGUAGCGGUGGAAUGCGUAGAGAUCCGGAAGAACACCGGUGGCGAAGGCGGCCUGCUGGGCAGUUGCUGACACUGAGGCGCGACAGCGUGGGGAGCAAACAGG